This 63-nucleotide microRNA precursor is filed under the name Melibe leonina. RNAcentral's name for it is "microRNA mle-mir-2c precursor". Its record names the gene mle-mir-2c. The record is from miRBase by way of RNAcentral. Lineage: Eukaryota; Metazoa; Mollusca; Gastropoda; Nudibranchia; Dendronotidae.
ACGUCAAGGCGGUUGUGAUGUGGUGACUGAAACACAAGCAUAUCACAGCCAGCUUUGAUGACA